RNAcentral lists this ribosomal RNA (486 nucleotides) under uncultured bacterium. Its description in RNAcentral is "partial 16S ribosomal RNA". It matches the Rfam family "Bacterial small subunit ribosomal RNA", at positions 29 to 507 of the family's 1533-position model. The record is from RNAcentral.
AUUGAACGCUGGCGGCAUGCCUUACACAUGCAAGUCGAACGGCAGCACGGGUGCUUGCACCUGGUGGCGAGUGGCGAACGGGUGAGGAAUCCAUCGGAACGUGUCCUGUAGUGGGGGAUAGCCCGGCGAAAGCCGGAUUCAUACCGCAUACGGACUACGGGUGAAAGCGGGGGCCCUCCUGGCCUCGCCCUAUAGGGUUGGCCGAUGGCUGAUUAGCUAGUUGGUGGGGUACAGGCCUACCAAGGCGACGAGCCGUAGCUGGUCUGAGAGGACGGCCAACCAGCCGGGGAGUGAGACAGGGCCCAGACUCCGAGAGGGAGCAGCGGUGGGGAAUUUUGGAGAAUGGGGGAGAGCCGGAUCCAGCAAAGCGGCGUGUGGGAAGAAGGACUUAGGGUGGUAGAGCAAUUAUGGCCGGAAAGAAGUCCUAGGCUCUAAUACGGGCGGAUGAUGACGGUACCGGAAGAAGAAGCACCGGCUAACUACGUG